This 915-nucleotide long non-coding RNA is filed under the name Coturnix japonica (Japanese quail). RNAcentral's name for it is "lncRNA (ENSCJPG00005012812.1)". The record is from RNAcentral. Lineage: Eukaryota; Metazoa; Chordata; Aves; Galliformes; Phasianidae.
AAUCAAGUACAUAAAAAUAAACCAGAGGGAACAACGUGCAAAGCAGAAUAAGGAAUGACCAACUUUACACUUCUCAGCAGUGUUGGUGGUAUGAAUGGUCCUCCUGUGAAGGUCUCCAGGAGCCAGCAGCACAAUAAACCACAGAGAUUUUUGUAAAGCUCCACAAUGCAAUUUCUUAGUCUUAAAUUAUGCUGUAAAGGAAUUGAAUAAUUCCUUCAAUUAGAUUUGUAUUGCAGACAGUAGGCACUAAAUAAAUGAGGGAGGUGUAGCACUCUGUAACUACAGACAGCUAUUUUUAAAGAUAUCUUCAGUCAGUCUUAAAUUAAUCUUGACCUUUCUGUCAUCUUUUUUUGUCUGGGACAGACAUUCCCCAUGCUCCUUUACAUACAGUUUGAAUAUCCUUUCAGUUUGAAUGAGUAAGCCUGGCAGUCAGUUAGAACUUUGCCUUGAGUGACCUGACCACUUUCUUCAGAAAGAGCUUUUCCUGAGAGUUUGUCUUUAAUUGAUGAUACACUGAGUGUAAUUUUGUCUUGAAAAAUAAUUAUACAAUGGAUGGAAAUAGAUGUUACUGAUAUGAAGUAGUAAUGGACAAUGGUACUGUGUUCCUGUACAGGAAAAUCAGCAAUGAAAAUAUUUCUCCUUGUCCUGCUCUUAGUUAAAAUUGACUGAUGAGAGAUUUGCUGGUGGAAAUCAGUAGCUCUGAAGAGAAUUCUGGCGGGUUCUUCAUGCCCUCAGCAUUUCACUGACAAGGAAAAGUCCUGGAUGUGGAUCUGCCUCAAGAACCUCCAGACAGCACAUUUUUCAGAUGGAUGGAAGUGCCCCAUGUGUCACAGCACUGGAGAUGAGGCUGUUCUUCUGGAGAUGACAUUCAGACCUCAUUCUGCUGAAACAACAACUUUGAAUUCUUUCCCAUAA